AAGAGUGAGUGAAGUUGUGGAAAUAGGUGCAUUAUUCUUCAAUGACCUGAAAUCUUGUGGACAAAACAUGUUGAGGUUGUGCGGAUAAAGAGCAUGUUUUGACUUAUGACCUAACGAUAUCAUAAAAGUUUAGGGAAUUAGUGAUUCUACUUUUAUGUAAUUAUAGUUGUUCAGAUUUACAUAAAUAUUAGUUCAGGACUCUUACCAUGAAUGACAAGAAGUUUUCCAUUACAAGAUAGUUGUUUUAGGAGUAGUUUGGAUAUUAUUAAAUUUCUGAGAGUUGUAACCAAACGAAAAAGGUGUUUAUGUUUUUUUCAUUUCUUAGUCAUUAUGUUUCUAUUACAUUAAAUGCUAAUUUAUUUUCUUAACCAUUUAUUAUUUAUUAUUGUACAUUGUGUGGAACUAAGACGUUAUAAAUAUUUAAAAAAAUUCUCAUUUUUCCCAAGUUCAAGGCUCAUGAAAAUUGGAUUUAUCACGGGGAAAUCUCGGGGUGUUGCCGCUUAUGCUUACUUGAACUUGGUAUCCCCUGCUCUCCACGUUCCACUCCAUGUACUCAAUUCAGGUUGCCCUUUCUGACCAUGUAUUUGUCGGUGAUUAUGUCUGUUAUUUCAUUGCUUUAUUGUCUAUAUAAACUCUUUGUGGUCUAAUAGCAGAAAAUACAUCCUUUUCAGUUGUUGGCUAUCUAUGAACACAGAGUAGUUGUGCAAGGCUUUAUAUGGGGCAUCAAUUCUUUUGACCAGUGGGGAGAUGAGUUAAGAAAGGUGUUGCACGUCACUGCGCGGUGUCGUGGCGAAUAUUCUUAUAUUUAUAUAAUGGCAGAUGCGGGGAGACAAAACAUUCUCGUCUCGUAUCAGUAGAACAUUGGAAUGGGAGUCACCACCUAGUAUUCUGGUCACUAGGAACCCUAACUGGUCUCAGAGAUCGGGCACAUAGACUAGUUGCGUAAAGGGAAGGUAUUAGCACCCCAACUACGCCCUACCUAAGGAAAUUAAGUUCGGAUGUUCCAGCCAAUCAUCCAACUAUUCUUCCUCGGAUAGAACUUCGUUCCUUGACAAUGGAAUAUUUAGAAGCAACAGAUUUAAUGGUUAGAAGAUUGAAACUUAAGAGCAUUAAACAUAAGUACUCCACUUCUCAUUUUUUCUCUUUAAUUAAACUUUUUUUUCUA
Long non-coding RNA from Populus nigra (black poplar), 1165 nucleotides. RefSeq lists it as uncharacterized. The transcript is spliced from 2 exons. NCBI's taxonomy places the organism in Eukaryota, Viridiplantae, Streptophyta, Magnoliopsida, Malpighiales, Salicaceae. The record is from RefSeq and is a predicted model, not a curated record.